GACGAACGCUGGCGGCGUGCUUAACACAUGCAAGUCGAACGGAAAGGCCCUGCUUUUGUGGGGUGCUCGAGUGGCGAACGGGUGAGUAACACGUGAGUAACCUGCCCUUGACUUUGGGAUAACUUCAGGAAACUGGGGCUAAUACCGGAUAGGAGCUCCUGCUGCAUGGUGGGGGUUGGAAAGUUUCGGCGGUUGGGGAUGGACUCGCGGCUUAUCAGCUUGUUGGUGGGGUAGUGGCUUACCAAGGCUUUGACGGGUAGCCGGCCUGAGAGGGUGACCGGCCACAUUGGGACUGAAAUACGGCCCAGACUCCUGCGGGAGGCAGCAGUGGGGAAUAUUGCACAAUGGGCGGAAGCCUGAUGCAGCAACGCCGCGUGCGGGAUGACGGCCUUCGGGUUGUAAACCGCUUUCGCCUGUGACGAAGCGUGAGUGACGGUAAUGGGUAAAGAAGCACCGGCUAACUACGUG
This 468-nucleotide ribosomal RNA is filed under the name uncultured bacterium. Its description in RNAcentral is "partial 16S ribosomal RNA". It matches the Rfam family "Bacterial small subunit ribosomal RNA", at positions 28 to 507 of the family's 1533-position model. The record is from RNAcentral.